RNAcentral lists this ribosomal RNA (255 nucleotides) under uncultured bacterium. RNAcentral describes it as "partial 16S ribosomal RNA". It matches the Rfam family "Bacterial small subunit ribosomal RNA", at positions 524 to 777 of the family's 1533-position model. The record is from RNAcentral.
UACGAAGGGGGCUAGCGUUGCUCGGAAUCACUGGGCGUAAAGCGCACGUAGGCGGCUUUCUAAGUCAGGGGUGAAAUCCUGGAGCUCAACUCCAGAACUGCCUUUGAUACUGGAGAGCUCGAGUCCGGAAGAGGUGAGUGGAACUGCGAGUGUAGAGGUGAAAUUCGUAGAUAUUCGCAAGAACACCAGUGGCGAAGGCGGACUCACUGGUCCGGUACUGACGCUGAGGUGCGAAAGCGUGGGGAGCAAACAGGG